This 210-nucleotide long non-coding RNA is filed under the name Ricinus communis (castor bean). RNAcentral describes it as "long non-coding RNA (RCOM_LNC002883)". The record is from RNAcentral. Lineage: Eukaryota; Viridiplantae; Streptophyta; Magnoliopsida; Malpighiales; Euphorbiaceae.
UUCUGUAUUACAUGCUAUGCAUCAUGGCAUUUUAGCACACAUUGGCUACCUUGUCCGCUCUCCAGCCUGGGUCAAUUGCAGUAUAAUGAUGCUAAUUUUGAAGGUUAGCUAGCUGCAAAUUUUUAUGUGAUUUUUGUUUGUAUUUAUGUUGUUGGACGCUUUAGUAAGAACAAGAAAUCGAUUGCCUAUGGUUUAUUUAUUUAUAUCAUA